Molecule: ribosomal RNA, 423 nt
Filed under: Rhizopus microsporus
Lineage: Eukaryota; Fungi; Mucoromycota; Mucoromycetes; Mucorales; Rhizopodaceae
Description: eukaryotic LSU rRNA
Rfam family: Eukaryotic large subunit ribosomal RNA
Source: RNAcentral
UUUGCCUUUUGCGAUACACUUUCAAAGAGUCAGGUUGUUUGGGAAUGCAGCCUAAAUUGGGUGGUAAAUCUCACCUAAAGCUAAAUAUUGGCGAGAAACCGAUAGCGAACAAGUACCGUGAGGGAAAGAUGAAAAGAACUUUGAAAAGAGAGUUAAACAGUAUGUGAAAUUGUUAAAAGGGAACCGUUUGGAGCCAGACUGGCUUGUCUGUAAUCAGUCUAAGUUUCGGCUUGGAUGCACUUGCAGGCUAUGCCUGCCAACGACAAUUUGGCUUGAGGGAAAAAACUAGGGGAAAUGUGGCCCAUUCGUGGGUGUUAUAGUCCCUUAGAAAAUACCUUGGGCUGGAUUGAGGUACGCARCGAAUGCUAUUUGGCGAGUUGGCUGGGAAUAUUUUCUGAGGUGCUCUGGUACUGAGGUUGAUAU